Schistocerca nitens (vagrant locust) is the source of this 231-nucleotide long non-coding RNA. RefSeq lists it as uncharacterized. The record is from RefSeq and is a predicted model, not a curated record. Lineage: Eukaryota; Metazoa; Arthropoda; Insecta; Orthoptera; Acrididae. The transcript has 3 exons.
UCGAGAGGCACACCAACACCAGCAGAUGAGCCUCCGUUUAAUACUUGGGAUAUUAUAACAGUAAGUUAUAGCUCCAGAAGUCAGUCACCAGCAGCAGAUGUCACACAGUUAUAAAAUGGGAAACUUGUAGAAUAAGCUCCAGAAGUCAGCAGCAGCAGACGUCACACAGCCAUAAUGUGAGAAGCUUGAAGAAUAAUGUGGUAGUGGUUUGGAUACAUAUGACAUAUUUCA